UUCUUUUAUACGAUAGUGCGCUGUCAUCUGCUGCCUCCCAUCGCAUCGCAAGUAGAAGGAGAUGGGAAGGAUAUGAUAUUGGGAGGCAGAUCGGAGGCAGACAAUCUGCCUCCCAUCGCAAGAACCCCCUGAAACCUUCAAACCAACCAAUUCAAUUUCGCAAUCUCUCACACCUAAUCCAAACCCUCAAACCAAAAACUCGAUUUCAAAUACCAAUCGGCUACGUUUUGGGUAUUGGAAUUCGCGCCGUCUCACCUCUCAAAGGCCGAUCUUUCUCAAACCGCCAUUAGAACUUCAAACCCGAGCGCUGCUGCCAAGUCUUCUUCUCCGGGACUCUACUCCACCAAGCAGUACGAACUCACAGUUCCCAACGUCGACUUGGUUCUAGAGGACGUCCGCCCCUAUCUCAUCACCGAUGGCGGUAACGUCGAUGUUGUCUCCAUUGAAGACGGCGUCGUUUCACUCAAGCUGGGAGUGUGAGAAAAUAGCUUUAAAAUUGGAUUUUUCAAUGUCUGGGCAAAGGAAAACAGGAAGAGAACACCAAUGGUGGUGACGAUGGAGAAACCCUUCUUUGCGGUGGAAAUCGACGGUCCAUAUGUUAGCAUUCAGCCCAGUUUAUAAAAGUAGGGAUCAAAGUGAAAACCAAUGACAUGAUGAUUUCUUUAAUUUUAUUAAGUUUUGUACUGAGGUAAAACUCCUCCCAUUUAACAUAGUUUUAAAUACUGAUUAGGAUAUCUGUAAAUAGGAUUGUGAGUAUGGUUGUAUAUAUGUAGUAGUUGAAUUGGAAACAUUGUUGUAAUUAUGUGUAACUAGAGUUGUAAACCGGCGGCGUCGCACGGGCUUUUUUGCUUGUGUUUUCUAGAGAGUAAUUAAUUUGACGAUGGUUAAAUUUUUUGAACAAA
RNAcentral lists this small RNA (902 nucleotides) under Malus domestica (apple). Its description in RNAcentral is "sRNA MD04G0141800". Lineage: Eukaryota; Viridiplantae; Streptophyta; Magnoliopsida; Rosales; Rosaceae. The record is from RNAcentral.